CCCUUAGAUGUCCUGGGCCGCACGCGCGCUACACUGAUGCAUGCAACGAGUUUAUAACCUUGGCCUGAAAGGUCUGGGUAAUCUUUUGAACGUGCAUCGUGAUAGGGAUAGAUUAUUGCAAUUGUUAAUCUUGAACGAGGAAUUCCUAGUAAACGCGAGUCAUCAGCUCGCAUUGAUUACGUCCCUGCCCUUUGUACACACCGCCCGUCGCACCUACCGAUUGAAUGGUUCGGUGAAGAUCUCGGACUUCGAUAUUUAUUCUUUAUUGAGUUUAUAUUGUGGGAAGUUAUCUAAACCUCAUCAUUUGGAGGAAGGUGAAGUCGUAACA
This 328-nucleotide ribosomal RNA is filed under the name uncultured eukaryote. RNAcentral's name for it is "partial 18S ribosomal RNA". It matches the Rfam family "Eukaryotic small subunit ribosomal RNA", at positions 1470 to 1796 of the family's 1831-position model. The record is from RNAcentral.